Molecule: non-coding RNA, 74 nt
Organism: Phrynosoma platyrhinos (Desert horned lizard)
Lineage: Eukaryota; Metazoa; Chordata; Lepidosauria; Squamata; Phrynosomatidae
Source: the annotation of a GenBank genome assembly
GACCCAGCAUGGCAUAGUGGUUUGAGCAUUGGACUACAACUCUGGAGACCAAGGUUCAAAUCCCUGCUCAGCCA